This 301-nucleotide ribosomal RNA is filed under the name uncultured bacterium. Its description in RNAcentral is "partial 16S ribosomal RNA". It matches the Rfam family "Bacterial small subunit ribosomal RNA", at positions 509 to 807 of the family's 1533-position model. The record is from RNAcentral.
CAGUAGCCACGGUAAUACGGAGGGAGCUAGCGUUGUUCGGAAUUACUGGGCGUAAAGCGCACGUAGGCGGUUAUUCAAGUCAGAGGUGAAAGCCCGGGGCUCAACCCCGGAACUGCCUUUGAAACUAGAUGACUAGAAUCUUGGAGAGGUCAGUGGAAUUCCGAGUGUAGAGGUGAAAUUCGUAGAUAUUCGGAAGAACACCAGUGGCGAAGGCGACUGACUGGACAAGUAUUGACGCUGAGGCGCGAAAGCGUGGGGAGCAAGCAGGAUUAGAUACCCCAGUAGUCCCUGUCUCUUAUAC